RNAcentral lists this small nuclear RNA (18 nucleotides) under Arabidopsis thaliana (thale cress). RNAcentral describes it as "snRNA_00986". Lineage: Eukaryota; Viridiplantae; Streptophyta; Magnoliopsida; Brassicales; Brassicaceae. The record is from RNAcentral.
GCAGAUUGUCUAGUUCGU